UACGGAGGAUCCAAGCGUUAUCCGGAAUCAUUGGGUUUAAAGGGUCCGUAGGCGGUUUUAUAAGUCAGUGGUGAAAUCCGGCAGCUUAACUGUCGAACUGCCAUUGAUACUGUAGAACUUGAAUUAUUGUGAAGUAACUAGAAUAUGUAGUGUAGCGGUGAAAUGCUUAGAUAUUACAUGGAAUACCCAUUGCGAAGGCAGGUUACUAACAAUAUAUUGACGCUGAUGGACGAAAGCGUGGGGAGCGAACAGG
RNAcentral lists this ribosomal RNA (253 nucleotides) under uncultured bacterium. RNAcentral's name for it is "partial 16S ribosomal RNA". It matches the Rfam family "Bacterial small subunit ribosomal RNA", at positions 524 to 776 of the family's 1533-position model. The record is from RNAcentral.